AAGUCGUAACAAGGUUUCCGUAGGUGAACCUGCGGAAGGAUCAUUAACACUUUUUUCGGGUGCUUUUGAAACUGGGAAAAUCUUUCUUGGUUUCGAGCCCAAAUCCAAACUUACCCAAACUUUUUUAAAGUGCUGGUGUUUUGCGAUCAAAAGCAAAACCUUUUUUUUAAUUCAAAAACCCCAAAUCUUUCUUUGCGAAUGCAAUUGAACAAAAUUUAAACCUAAACAAAACUACUAAAUGUAACCAAACAACUCUUAGCAACGGAUAUCUUGGCUCUC
Molecule: unclassified non-coding RNA, 279 nt
Filed under: fungal sp.
Lineage: Eukaryota; Fungi
Description: partial internal transcribed spacer region
Rfam family: Eukaryotic small subunit ribosomal RNA (bases 1-46)
Source: RNAcentral